Arvicola amphibius (Eurasian water vole) is the source of this 635-nucleotide long non-coding RNA. RefSeq lists it as uncharacterized. The transcript has 3 exons. NCBI's taxonomy places the organism in Eukaryota, Metazoa, Chordata, Mammalia, Rodentia, Cricetidae. The record is from RefSeq and is a predicted model, not a curated record.
CCAGGUCAUUAGUUUCAGCCCCAAAGGGCAACCGAUCAUUCCUUCACUGCCUUCCUUCCACUUUUCUCCCACCUUUACUCCAUUUGGUAGAAGUUUUAUUUAAAUCUCAGUCCUGUGGGUGCCUACAAAGACAAGAGAAGGCGCUUUCGUUCCUGUGGCUGGAGUUACAAGCUGCUGUGGGCUGACCUGUAUGGGUGCUAGGGAUCAAAUGCCCUUUCUCUGCAUUGGUGCCAACUGCUCCGUACUGCUCAGCCACCGCUCAAGGUGUAGGCUCUCCUUGGACAGGACUCCUUAGAACCAAGAAGCAUGCUCCAUGGAGUCUCCUGGUCACCCGCCUUCCUUGGUACCAUCUACUUUCUCAACCCAUCUGCUGUCUGUGAGAGAUGCUUCUUCAGACUAUAUGCAUCUUCUCCAUCUGCAUGGAUAAAAUUUUUCAUAUGGACAAUAAAUACUUUGAGGCAGCAGUGCCACCUCACUACAUCUGCAGGUCAUAGGCCAAUGGACUGCAACUCAACACCGAAGUUCUCUUCUGCAUUACUGCUCUUUACCAACCCUCUCCAACAGUCUGCAGACGACUUUCAAUCCAAUGCAGAACUCCAGCAGAAAGCACCACUGAAGUGCUAGUAUGCUUUUAA